AUGGAGAAAUGAAGAAGCAUGAUGCUUACUUCGUAUAUGAAUUGUUUAUACUAACGUUUCUGUUCAAUUUUGAGCGAUCAUGCUCAAAAUAAUAUGGGUCUAUAGCUCAGCUGGUUAGAGCGCACGCCUGAUAAGCGUGAGGUCGAUGGUUCGAGUCCAUUUAGACCCACCAUUAUGUUCUUUGAAAAUUGCAUAUAAAAUGAUAAUAUAUAACUUCAAACAUAUUGAGAAGUAAGCCAAGAAAUAUUCUUUGUGAUAUUUAAUGCAAAACUUUGAAAAACGACUGAAGAGUUUUAACUUGAAAAAUAGUUAGAACUGAGUUUGAUUAGGAGCGAGUAGAACAAGGAAGUGAGGAGUGACUGGCGGAAUGUACUUUCGUACAUGAGCAAAGGGACGACGAAACUGACGAAGUAAUACGAAGGUAAUAAUCAAACGAAGAUA
Molecule: unclassified non-coding RNA, 441 nt
Filed under: uncultured Clostridiaceae bacterium
Lineage: Bacteria; Bacillati; Bacillota; Clostridia; Eubacteriales; Clostridiaceae
Description: 16S-23S ribosomal RNA intergenic spacer
Rfam family: tRNA (bases 96-169)
Source: RNAcentral